UAGCUCAGUUAGUAGAGUGCUUGCCUCGCAUGCACAAGGCCCUGGGUUCAAUUCCCAG
Molecule: non-coding RNA, 58 nt
Organism: Ictidomys tridecemlineatus (thirteen-lined ground squirrel)
Lineage: Eukaryota; Metazoa; Chordata; Mammalia; Rodentia; Sciuridae
Source: Rfam